Molecule: long non-coding RNA, 1737 nt
Organism: Gallus gallus (chicken)
Lineage: Eukaryota; Metazoa; Chordata; Aves; Galliformes; Phasianidae
Exons: 3
Source: RefSeq, a predicted model, not a curated record
GCACCCGCGGCGGCGGCGUGGGGACGGGCGGAGGCGGGGGGCGGGCGGAGGCAGGACGAGCCGACGCCCCCCCCCCCUCCCCCGCAGCCCCCCGCUGUCCCCUCCCCGCCGCCGCCCCCGCCGCGCGCCCCGGCGGAGCGACGCGGGGAGUCCUCGGCCCGGGAGGGGAAGGGCGCGUCGCCGGGGGGCGCGGCCGGCGGCCUCCAGCCGGGGGCUGUCCUCGCCAAGACCCCAGAACCCGUGGCGGCACGAAGCGUGGUAAAGUUUGCGCAAGCUCAUCCCGAAUUGGCGGGUGAAGGGUUUCCAGGAGUCUGAAGCUUCGCCUUGUAUCGACGGGAAGGCAAAAGCAGCCGCGGACUGCCGGCGUUCUGCCGGCCUGCUCCAGCGCCGGGGAACGGAGGGAACGGCAACCUGCGCUGCUGCAUGACCUUGUGCCUUCUAACACCAUGCACGGCAGGUUGCUUUCAUGAGCAAUAGGGCUGCUCGUCGCUGAUCUAUACGGGAUCAGCAAAGUUAUGCUCUCUUUUAAACAAAUAAGCCUCCCCCCUCUCUCAAGAGCACUCAAGAACACUUGUGUUAUGAAGAACCAGCUUGGGUGAGAAUGGCAGAAUCACCACAGCAUGCUUGUUCUUGGAAGGCACCCUAUAAAGAGUAGGCCAGGUCCCAACAGGACAGUCAGUUCUGGUGGGAAGGCAACCAGUCCAGCACAAGCACGGCACAUCUUUCAGCUGUAUCAGAAAGACACCACUGUCUUAUGCCAAGAAGAAUUUUACGUUUCAGUCCUAGCUCAGUUCAAAGAGCCCCCUGGACACAGCCACAGGUGCCAUCAGGCUGCUGGCAGGUUGGGGUGGUGUCAGCCAGGGGUAGGAUGGAGCAGGCCCCAGCAGCUCUUCCCAGACAAAAUGGCGGCUCAGCCACCACUUCCUCCUGGCCGUUCUCCUCAGAGGCCUUCACCAGCUUCAGCCGCCGCACUGCAGCAUGAAGCGUGAACGCACAGCAAAGUGGCCUGAAACAUUACAGCAUAUAAAUGUUGAAACUCUUCAUUAAAAGUCACGGGAGGCCAAGCCUGGCUAUAAAACCCACUGAAGAACAGUGCCAACACAUUUCAUGCUGGUCUCCAUUUGGACUCAUCCCAACGCUCACAGGGAGCACAAUUUAAAGGAACACAUAGAUUGCUGACUGCAUUUGCAAAUGGGAAAAAAAAACCAAUCUCCUUCUAACUAAAUGCAGUUGGAAUAUAUAUAUAUAUAUAUGUUUUCUGGAAAUACUGGAGUAAUUAGAACUCAUGCACCUCAGCAUGACUUCUGGAAGAGCCAUUUUGUCCCCUCUCUAGUGAAAGUGUCACUGCAGAGGAGAGCCUCUCACAUCACAGGGGUCCGUCUGCAAGUCCAGACUGUGGGCUACAAGCUUCCCUGAGAGAAAGAGGCAAACGUGUGUAUUGCACAGAUGCUAUUUAUCCUCAACUCUGCAUUUUGCCUGGGUACAUGCUUGAGAAAAAAACACGGACCAAACUGGUGUCAGACUCCUAAGGAAGACAUCAUUUUUUAAAAUGGCUUCUGCAAUGAAAAUGUGCAAAGGACUACAGCACGUUCUCUCCCUUCAAAGAUCAAACAGGAAGAGUAAAGGCCACAGUUUUUGUUCACUUUGCACAUCUUCUGGAUUCAUCCAUUUUUCAGGAGCGUUAAAUCCCAGCAACCUUCAGCACAGAAGCUAACCUAGACACGAGAAGAAGUGAAG